AAGUCGUAACAAGGUUCCUUCCACACCUAUAGAAGCCUUACACAGCGAUUCAAAAUAAUCGUGCAGUCUUAUCUAUUUUGCAUAAGGCGACGCUUCCAGUUUGCUGGGAUACUUUAUUCACGUAGAGAACCAGCAGCCAUGAUAUCCAUGGUUCACAGAUCAAACCGAGGCGGUCAACCAGUGUCGUUUGAUGAAGAUAUGACCGAGUCUCAUCCUUUACGGAAUGGGAGAGGUAGCAUCCAGCUAUCAUAAACACGUUCCGUAGGUGAACCUGCGGAAGGAUCAUUACAGAGUUAGGGUUCAUCUGAGCCCAACCUCCAACCAUUUGUUUAACUACUUUGUUGCUUUGGCAGGCCCGUUCCUUUCGAGGAGCAGCCGGAGGGGUUUUAGGUCACCUCUGGCCAGUGCUUGCCAGUAGCCAAAUCAAAUUCUUCUUUUAACCAUGUCGUCUGAUACCUAAUUAUAAAUAUAAUUAAAA
Molecule: unclassified non-coding RNA, 478 nt
Filed under: plant metagenome
Description: partial contains small subunit ribosomal RNA and internal transcribed spacer 1
Source: RNAcentral